RNAcentral lists this long non-coding RNA (639 nucleotides) under Homo sapiens (human). RNAcentral describes it as "HSALNT0080786". The record is from RNAcentral. Lineage: Eukaryota; Metazoa; Chordata; Mammalia; Primates; Hominidae.
UCUUAACAUCAGAACACAACAUAUUCCUCAUGUGUUUGUGGUGAAGCUGACAUAAACAACCUACUACAGGCCUACCAGUCAUAAAACAGCUAAGUUUACUUGGCCUAUUUAAGGACAGUCACAAAAGAGAGUUAAUGGAUACCAAAGUUUGGAAGAGACAGCACUAUCUCACUGUAACUUGGAACUGAACGAGAUGGGGUCUCGUUGUGCUGCCCAGGUUGCUCUUAAACUACUGAUCUCAAGCAAUCCUCCCACCUCUGGCUCUCAAGUAGCUGGGAUUACAGGCAAAUAAUGAUGGAAAUCUGGGGAUUCUUGAUGGGCCGUUGAGAUUCUAAUGGGAUCUGGUAUAAACACAUUUUAGCAGAGACUUACUUCCUCUCUGAAGUUUUCCUGACGUUGAAAUAUACCACAACAAACUCAGUACUGUCAAAAGUACUGGUUCUUAAAUACAGAGCACAGAUAUCACUCCAGUGGAAGAGUUCAUCAGAUAGUGAGAAUCUCACCUAUAAAUCUCAAGCAUGCCUGCCAAGGAGUCUCAAGUCAGGAACAGAGGAGAAAAUAGCCAUCAAAUAGGGCGUCUUGUCAGUAUUAUUCAAAUGUAAUAGAAAAUCAAAUUAUAAUAAAACAUUUAACAUACCA